AGGGGGGGUGCCCGCUCUCGAGCCUGCCUGCCGUCGCAGCGGGGAACCCGGCUGAUCCCGAGCUCCGUGAGCCUCCCCUCCUCCGGGGAGCCACGCCUGGGGCCUUGGCGGAGACAACCACU
Long non-coding RNA from Melanotaenia boesemani (Boeseman's rainbowfish), 122 nucleotides. RefSeq lists it as uncharacterized. The transcript is spliced from 3 exons. NCBI's taxonomy places the organism in Eukaryota, Metazoa, Chordata, Actinopteri, Atheriniformes, Melanotaeniidae. The record is from RefSeq and is a predicted model, not a curated record.